GGUAUCAUGACCGUGCGAAGGUAGCAUAAUCAUUAGUCUCUUAAUUGGGGGCUGGAAUGAAUGGUUGGACGAGAAAUUAGCUGUCUUAGUUUUGAAAAUUGAAUUUAACUUUUAAGUGAGAAGGCUUAAAUGGGCUAGGGGGACGAUAAGACCCUAUAAAGUUUGUACAUUAAACUAAUUAAAGGUGGUUUAGGUUUAUAAAAUUUGCCAUUAGGGAAGUGUUUAGUUGGGGCGAUUGGGAUAUAAGUUAUCUAACUGUUUCUUUGUUUUAAUCAAAAAUAUUUGAGUUUAUGAUCCUUUUUUAGGAUUAAAGAGUAAAUUACUUUAGGGAUAACAGCGCAAUUUUUUUUGAGAGUUCUUAUCGAUUAGAGAGUUUGCGACCUCGAUGUUGAAUUAAAAUUUC
This 403-nucleotide ribosomal RNA is filed under the name Cherax dispar. RNAcentral's name for it is "partial 16S ribosomal RNA". It matches the Rfam family "Archaeal large subunit ribosomal RNA", at positions 2012 to 2615 of the family's 2987-position model. Lineage: Eukaryota; Metazoa; Arthropoda; Malacostraca; Decapoda; Parastacidae. The record is from RNAcentral.